AGAGUUUGAUCAUGGCUCAGAACGAACGCUGGCGGCAGGCCUCAAACAUGCAAGUCUAGGGGGUGUAGCAAUACAUCACCGGCGGACGGGUGCGUAACGCGUGGGAAUAUACCUAUUGGUUCGGAACAACUGAGGGAAACUUCAGCUAAUACCGGAUACGUCCUAACGGAGAAAGAUUUAUCGCCAAUAGAUUAGCCCGCGUUCGAUUAGCUAGUUGGUGGGGUAACGGCCCACCAAGGCGACGAUCGAUAGCUGUUCUGAGAGGAAGAUCAGCCACACUGGGACUGAGACACGGCCCAGACUCCUACGGGAGGCAGCAGUUGGGAAUCUUGGACAAUGGGGGAAACCCUGAUCCAGCCAUGCCGCGUGAGUGAUGAAGGCCUUCGGGUUGUAAAACUCUUUCGCGCACGACGAUAAUGACGGUAGUGCGAGAAGAAGCUCCGGCUAACUUCGUGCCAGCAGCCGCGGUAAUACGAAGGGGGCUAGCGUUGUUCGGAAUUACUGGGCGUAAAGCGCGCGCAGGCGGUCUUCCAAGUCAGUGGUGAAAGCCCGGAGCUCAACUCCGGAACUGCCAUUGAAACUGUGAGACUUGAGUAUGAGAGAGGUGAGUGGAAUUCCCAGUGUAGAGGUGAAAUUCGUAGAUAUUGGGAAGAACACCGGUGGCGAAGGCGGCUCACUGGCUCAUUACUGACGCUCAGGCGCGACAGCGUGGGGAUCAAACAGGAUUAGAUACCCUAGUAGUCC
Molecule: ribosomal RNA, 744 nt
Filed under: uncultured bacterium
Lineage: Bacteria
Description: bacterial SSU rRNA
Rfam family: Bacterial small subunit ribosomal RNA
Source: RNAcentral